Molecule: ribosomal RNA, 253 nt
Filed under: uncultured bacterium
Lineage: Bacteria
Description: partial 16S ribosomal RNA
Rfam family: Bacterial small subunit ribosomal RNA
Source: RNAcentral
UACGUAGGGGGCAAGCGUUGUCCGGAAUCAUUGGGCGUAAAGCGCGUGUAGGCGGCUUGGUAAGUCUGGUGUGAAACCUCGGGGCUCAACCCCGAGCCUGCACUGGAUACUGCCUCGCUCGAGUCCGGGAGGGGAGAGCGGAAUUCCGAGUGUAGCGGUGAAAUGCGCAGAUAUUAGGAAGAACACCGGUGGCGAAGGCGGCUCUCUGGAACGGUACUGACGCUGAGACGCGAAAGCGUGGGGAGCAAACAGG